This 253-nucleotide ribosomal RNA is filed under the name uncultured bacterium. RNAcentral's name for it is "partial 16S ribosomal RNA". It matches the Rfam family "Bacterial small subunit ribosomal RNA", at positions 524 to 776 of the family's 1533-position model. The record is from RNAcentral.
UACGGAGGGGGCAAGCGUUGUUCGGAAUCAUUGGGCGUAAAGAGUAUGUAGGCGGCUAUUUAAGUCAGACGUGUAAGCCCACGGCUCAACCGUGGAAUUGCGUUUGAAACUAUUUAGCUUGAGUACAGGAGAGGAAGGCGGAAUUCCCAGUGUAGCGGUGAAAUGCAUUGAUAUUGGGAAGAACACCGGUGGCGAAGGCGGCCUUCUGGUCUGAUACUGACGCUGAGAUACGAAAGCCAGGGGAGCGAACGGG